This 890-nucleotide long non-coding RNA is filed under the name Dermacentor andersoni. Its description in RNAcentral is "uncharacterized LOC126523088". The record is from RNAcentral. Lineage: Eukaryota; Metazoa; Arthropoda; Arachnida; Ixodida; Ixodidae.
CGAAAGGGCGGAGUAACCAGGGAAACCUCCAAGCACACCUGAGAGGCCAGUAAGACCUGGGUAUCCUCCAUACAGUCCGGACAAGCCACUAAGUCCAGGAUACAAUCCUGAAAGCCCUGGGUAACGCGCAAGAAGUCCUAGAGGUCCGGAAAGCCCACUCAGGCUUCCCAAGGAACCUGGGUAUCCACUAUACAAGCCAGAAAGUCCUGUCAAACCAGGGUAUCCUGCGAGAAGUCCAGACAGGCGUCCGAGGCCUGGGUAACUUCCAGAGAGACCUGAAAGAGCAAGUGAGCUUCCGUAAAGGCCGGAAAGUCCUGGAUAACGUCCAAGAAGUCCUAGGGGUCCUCCAAGUCCCCCGAGAGCUCCUACAGAACCUGGGUAGCCUAGUGAGCCAAAACCACUUAUGUGGGAGUAUCCCCAUGGGCUAGAAAGGCCAAGAAGACCCGAGGAGCGGGAAAAGUAACUGCUGGAGCCGGGAUAGCUUCCGUAUGCUGCCGAAAGGGCGGAGUAACCAGGCAAACCUCCAAGCACACCUGAGAGGCCGGUAAGACCUGGGUAUCCUCCAUACAAUCCGGACAAGCCACUAAGUCCAGGAUACAAUCCUGAAAGCCCUGGGUAACGACCAAGUAGUCCUAGAGGUCCGGAAAGCCCACUCAGGCUUCCCAAGGAACCUGGGUAUCCACUAUACAAGCCCGAAAGUCCUGUCAAACCAGGGUAUGCUCCCAGAAGUCCAGACAAGCGUCCGAGUCCUGAGUAACUUCCAGGGAGACCUGAAAGAGCAAGUGAGCUUCCAUAAAGGCCGGAAAGUCCUGGGUAACGUCCAAGAAGGCCUAGGGGUCCUCCAAGUCCUCCGAGAACACCUCCUAGAGAUCCUGGGUAGCCGUGUGAAC